Molecule: long non-coding RNA, 329 nt
Organism: Daphnia pulicaria
Lineage: Eukaryota; Metazoa; Arthropoda; Branchiopoda; Diplostraca; Daphniidae
Exons: 2
Source: RefSeq, a predicted model, not a curated record
AACCCACAUUUUCCGGCUUAUAGUUAGAACCUAUUCCGAACAUCACUUUCAACUGGUGAAAUCCAUAAACGGACUCCCUGCUGGACAGUAAAAUAGGGCGAGAAAACAUCUAUCGGUCGUGAGAUGGAAGAAUUCAUCCAGAGAAUCGAUUUCGAGUGAUUCACUCCGAGUUUAACUGCACACAAUCACAGUUACGUCGUUAACGAACUGCUUACCUGGAUGCCAUUUUCAUCUCUGAAGAGUUUCGCAACGGCCUCUGUGAUUUUGUGGUCUCGCUCAAUUCCUUCAGUGUCUCCGAAUCCCGGCGUGUCGACGAUAGUCAGCGAAAA